Long non-coding RNA from Sparus aurata (gilthead seabream), 1614 nucleotides. The record is from Ensembl. Lineage: Eukaryota; Metazoa; Chordata; Actinopteri; Spariformes; Sparidae.
AUGCAGAAGAGGUUCCUGGCAGAUACACUGCAAAAUAUUCAUAGAAGAUUUUUAGCAGAAAAUCCAAAACAAAAAAUAUCAUAUUCCCUUUUCUGUCAUCUUCGCCCUUUUUGGGUUGUCAAUCCAACAAUCUCUGAACGAGACACAUGCAUGUGUAAAUUGCAUGAAAAUCUGAGCUUUGUGGCUGUGAAGCUCAGUCAGCUGAAACUUACUGAGACUGCCAAUCUGGAACAGUUGGUAGAGAUGGUGUGCUGCAACUCAUCCAACAAAAGCUGCAUGUAUGGAGAGUGUGUCCACUGCAAGGACAAGAGUGUCCCCAUCUCAAGUGCUUAUAACAGUACUGCAAAUGUGUCUUUUACCCAGUGGGUAACAGAAGAGAAGGAGAUGGAGAAAAAGAAAGAGGGCGAAAAGGCAACUGUCAAGGUGACGUUUAAGAAAUCUGUGGAGGGCACACAAGAGGACCUCAUUGAGCUCCUCCACAGCUACAUAAAGCGAUUUAAACAGCAUCACUUUAACAUUAAGCAGCAAUAUGCCUUCUGCCGUGAGCUGAAAAAGAACAUGUCAGGGGAAGAGGCUUUGAUACAUGUUGACUUUUCUGAAAAUUACAGCUGUAAAUACAGCUCCCAAGUUCAGGCGGUCCACUUUGGGGCUUCACAUCAGCAGGCCACCCUUCAUACUGGUGUGCUGUAUGUUGGCAGACACCCAGAGCCUGUGUGCUUCAGCACCAUCUCCCCCAGUAGACACAAAGGCCCUCCAGCAAUAUGGCAACACCUACAUCCUGUGCUGGAUUACCUUCAGGCCCAACAUCCACAAGUGUCUGUGCUGCACUUUUUAAAUGAUGGCCCCUGUACUCAGUACAAACAACGAGGCAACUUCUUCCUUUUCGCCACAGAGCUGGACAGAAGAGGAUUCAAGGCUGGUUCUUGGAACUUUUUCGAGGCUAGUCACGGGAAAGGAGCACCAGAUGGUGUGGGGGGGGCCUUAAAAAGAGCAGCUGAUAUGAUGGUGGCAAAGGGCCGUGACAUCCCAGAUGCAGCAGAGUUGUACAAGGCCUUGACUGAGUCAAACACAACAGUGAAACUGUUCUUUGUGAAAAGUCAAGAUGUUGAGGAAGCAAUAGAGAAAAUGCCAAAGCUGAUACCAGCAGUUCCUGGCACCAUGAGAAUUCACCAGGUCAUUACUCUGGCUCCAGGAGAAAUGCUAUCUCGUGAUGUAAGCUGCAUGUGCACAACACGGAAGCAGUUUAACUGCAAGUGCUUCAACACCCAGUGUUUCAGUUUUGGCCAGAAGAGAACAACUGCUGUGCCACAGCCAGCCAGUGGAGGGAAUCCAGAAAAUGAUAUCCAAUGGGAAAGUCCAGAGCUGAUUGGGAAAUGGUGUAUUCUCAGAUAUGAUGAUGAUUUAUAUCCAGGCGUCAUUCUGAACAUACAGGAAACACACGUCCAGGUCAAAUGCAUGCAUCGUGUCGGUUCAAACCGAUUCUACUGGCCGCAUCAGGAUGAUAUCCUCUGGUACUUGUUUGACGAUGUCCUUGAAGUCAUCCCACCCCCGCAGCCUGUGACAAAGCGCCAUGUGGAGGUCUUGAAAGAGGUGUGGAACCGACUCACAGUCUGA